This 78-nucleotide non-coding RNA is filed under the name marine eukaryotic metagenome. RNAcentral's name for it is "Glycine riboswitch". It matches the Rfam family "Glycine riboswitch aptamer", at positions 11 to 90 of the family's 94-position model. From Rfam's summary of the family: This family represents the bacterial glycine riboswitch. Glycine riboswitches usually consist of two metabolite-binding aptamers domains with similar structures in tandem. The record is from RNAcentral.
UGGGAGAGACCUCGGCCAGACCGGGGCGCCGAAGGAGCAACCGCCCUCGGAAACUCUCAGGCGACUGGACCGUUGGGG